Molecule: long non-coding RNA, 427 nt
Organism: Pezoporus flaviventris
Lineage: Eukaryota; Metazoa; Chordata; Aves; Psittaciformes; Psittacidae
Exons: 3
Source: RefSeq, a predicted model, not a curated record
UCUUCCUUCCUUUUGUGGGGAGCUCGGAAGUGAGCAGGCUCAUCUGUCACUGCAUCCCUUGAAAGCAGUCGUGUCAUCAGCCUAAGCACGGAGCUGCUUCAAGAGACCCUGGGAGUGGAUGCAAGGGUUCAUUGGGUCAAAAAAGGGAAAUUUUUUGAAUCACUUGUUUCCCGUGUUAGAAUGGAUUUAGCUUCCGAUCCCCAGCUCCUGUUAGGAAAUAAUGUACUGUGAUCUUCCAGGUAAAGUGCCCAGGGAAUACCCUGGAGUAAGAACAGAAACGGAAAGAGCUGACGACCUGCUGCGUGGAUGUCUGCAUCGCAGGGGCUGCGCUGCCACGUAGAAACCAGCUGCAAGACCAAAAAGAAAAGAAAGGUUUCUGCUAAUGGGAAGCAACAGAGGAGAGCAGAGGCAUGUCUGGGAAUUGUAG